Molecule: long non-coding RNA, 621 nt
Organism: Dalotia coriaria
Lineage: Eukaryota; Metazoa; Arthropoda; Insecta; Coleoptera; Staphylinidae
Exons: 2
Source: RefSeq, a predicted model, not a curated record
UUGUUUGAAUAUUUGUCAAUGAAAUUACCUGGAAGGAUCAUCCAUCAAGUUGUGUUUUGAAUAGUGCAUCCCAAAUUGAUUUCAGUGUAUCGGUUGCGCAAUCCCCAAUGGAUUUUUAAUGAACGAAGCGAACAAGAAAAUUAUGUGUGUUAUACGAUACGCGUGCCGUUGACGUGUAGGGUGCAUAAUAAUUAUGCGAAGCAAUCUUGCGUGAAAUGCGGGAAGCGUGCAGCUCCUUAUGUUCGAGACAAACGGCCACGCGCUCGCUCGGACGCCACUUACUACGAAAAAAGUGAUAAAAACCCGAAAGAGGCACCUCAUGGCGGGGCAUCAACUGUUGGUAACUCGUGAACCGCGACGCCCCAAUUGUAACCGAGUAUACAGCUAAUGAUAAUUUAAAGAAAUGGCGUGUGCCGGGAUCGUUACGCCGCUAACAUUUGGACAACAUAUGGCUAAACUGAUCGCUCGACGAUGUACGCCAAUAUAUUAUGAUUUCAACAAAUCAUUAAUUAAUUAAUAUUCAACACGAUUAAUAAUUUAAAGGUCACUGAAGGUGUUUGCACUUUGUGUUUGCGCAAAAAUGUGCAUUUCUGACAAUUAAUUAAAACUUAUCGCAUUUUA